This 400-nucleotide ribosomal RNA is filed under the name uncultured bacterium. RNAcentral describes it as "bacterial SSU rRNA". It matches the Rfam family "Bacterial small subunit ribosomal RNA", at positions 355 to 747 of the family's 1533-position model. The record is from RNAcentral.
UGGGGAAUUUUGGACAAUGGGCGAAAGCCUGAUCCAGCCAUGCCGCGUGAGUGAAGAAGGCCUUCGGGUUGUAAAGCUCUUUCGGCCGGAACGAAAUCGCUUGAGUUAAUACCUUUAGCGGAUGACGGUACCGGAAUAAGAAGCACCGGCUAACUACGUGCCAGCAGCCGCGGUAAUACGUAGGGUGCAGGCGUUAAUCGGAAUUACUGGGCGUAAAGCGUGCGCAGGCGGCCUCUUAAGUCAGAUGUGAAAUCCCCGGGCUCAACUCGGGAACUGCGUUUGAAACUGGGAGGCUAGAGUACGGCAGAGGGGGGUGGAAUUCCACGUGUAGCAGUGAAAUGCGUAGAUAUGUGGAGGAACACCGAUGGCGAAGGCAGCCCCCUGGGCCUGUACUGACGCU